Molecule: ribosomal RNA, 433 nt
Filed under: uncultured bacterium
Lineage: Bacteria
Description: partial 16S ribosomal RNA
Rfam family: Bacterial small subunit ribosomal RNA
Source: RNAcentral
AGCGAACGCUGGCGGCAGGCCUAACACAUGCAAGUCGAACGAACUCUUCGGAGUUAGUGGCGGACGGGUGAGUAACACGUGGGAACGUGCCUUUAGGUUCGGAAUAACUCAGGGAAACUUGUGCUAAUACCGAAUGUGCCCUUCGGGGGAAAGAUUUAUCGCCUUUAGAGCGGCCCGCGUCUGAUUAGCUAGUUGGGGAGGUAAAGGCUCACCAAGGCGACGAUCAGUAGCUGGUCUGAGAGGAUGAUCAGCCACAUUGGGACUGAGACACGGCCCAAACUCCUACGGGAGGCAGCAGUGGGGAAUCUUGCGCAAUGGGGGAAAGGCUGACGCAGCCAUGCCGCGUGAAUUAUGAAGGUCUUAGGAUUGUAAAAUUCUUUCACCGGGGACGAUAAUGACGGUACCCGGAGAAGAAGCCCCGGCUAACUUCGUG